This 497-nucleotide ribosomal RNA is filed under the name uncultured bacterium. RNAcentral's name for it is "partial 16S ribosomal RNA". It matches the Rfam family "Bacterial small subunit ribosomal RNA", at positions 28 to 507 of the family's 1533-position model. The record is from RNAcentral.
GACGAACGCUGGCGGCGUGCCUAAUACAUGCAAGUUGAGCGCUGAAGGUUGGUACUUGUACCAACUGGAUGAGCAGCGAACGGGUGAGCAACGCGUGGGGAAUCUGCCUUUGAGCGGGGGACAACAUUUGGAAACGAAUGCUAAUACCGCAUAAAAACUUUAAACACAAGUUUUAAGUUUGAAAGAUGCAAUUGCAUCACUCAAAGAUGAUCCCGCGUUGUAUUAGCUAGUUGGUGAGGUAAAGGCUCACCAAGGCGAUGAUACAUAGCCGACCUGAGAGGGUGAUCGGCCACAUUGGGACUGAGACACGGCCCAAACUCCUACGGGAGGCAGCAGUAGAGAAUCUUCGGCAAUGGACGAAAGUCUGACCGAGCAACGCCGCGUGAGUGAAGAAGGUUUUCGGAUCGUAAAACUCUGUUGGUAGAGAAGAACGUUGGUGAGAGUGGAAAGCUCAUCAAGUGACGGUAACUACCCAGAAAGGGACGGCUAACUACGUG